Molecule: small nuclear RNA, 110 nt
Organism: Sorex fumeus (smoky shrew)
Lineage: Eukaryota; Metazoa; Chordata; Mammalia; Eulipotyphla; Soricidae
Source: RefSeq, a predicted model, not a curated record
CACGCAAAUUCGUGAAGCGUUCCAUAUUUUUAUUGGAACGAUACAGAGAAGAUUAGCAUGGCCCCUGCGCAAGGAUGACGCUAAUAAACAAGUAGGUAUUAAAUAUUCGA